GGGGUAAGGGGUUACUGGAGGGCGGUCUCGAAAGCCGUUGUGCCGUAAGGUACCUAGGGUUCGAAUCCCUGUCUCUCCG
Molecule: transfer RNA, 79 nt
Filed under: Bacteroidales bacterium
Lineage: Bacteria; Pseudomonadati; Bacteroidota; Bacteroidia; Bacteroidales
Description: tRNA-OTHER
Source: RNAcentral